Sapajus apella (tufted capuchin) is the source of this 341-nucleotide long non-coding RNA. RefSeq lists it as uncharacterized. NCBI's taxonomy places the organism in Eukaryota, Metazoa, Chordata, Mammalia, Primates, Cebidae. The record is from RefSeq and is a predicted model, not a curated record. The transcript is spliced from 3 exons.
AUGCCCAGGGGAACGGCAACAGAGCUGUUAGGUACCUACUAUGUGCCAGCACAAGGGCUUCACAAAAUAACAGUAAAAGCAUCUAUUUAACACCUGCUACGUGCCACGGGGAGCAGCAACAGAAGCUCCAAUUAUUAGGCCCCUACUGUGUGUCAAGCAUUCUGCCAAGGGCUUCAUAGGAUGAUAGCAAAAUAAUCUAUGCUGAACACCUACUAUGUGCCAGGCACCAUGCCAAGGGAAACAGCAACAGAAGCUCUAUUAGGCACCUACUAUGUGCCAGCACCAAGGGCUUCACAAAAUAAUAGUAAAAGCGUUUAUUUACUAAACACCUACCACGUGGC